This 589-nucleotide ribosomal RNA is filed under the name Paratinia sp. JSGS7. RNAcentral's name for it is "eukaryotic LSU rRNA". It matches the Rfam family "Eukaryotic large subunit ribosomal RNA", at positions 393 to 817 of the family's 3401-position model. The record is from RNAcentral. Lineage: Eukaryota; Metazoa; Arthropoda; Insecta; Diptera; Mycetophilidae.
GAGUACGUGAAACCGCUUAGGGGUUAAGCCCGAUGAACCUGAAUAUCUGAAUUGAGAAAUUCAAUACUAUUCUAAUUAUUUAUCCUUAAAAAAUAAAUGAUCGAUGGUAUGCACUUUUCUCAUAGUAGGACAUUGCGAUCCAUUAGUAUAUCUUUUUAAGAUGGUUUAUCAAACGGCCCGUAUAGUCAGUUUAAUCUAUCUGCAAUACUUGCUAUUGUAUGGUUAAUGCUAUUGCGGUGACCUGAUAAACAGCUGAUGGAGCUUAUAAAUCAUGCAACCAUGCAUUAUGUAUUACGGUUUUAAUAUAUUUUAUAUAUUGAAAUGCAGUAAUCGCAUGUAUUUGAUUAGCAAUGCGAUAGAUUUGGGAUACCUUCGGGACCCGUCUUGAAACACGGACCAAGAAGUCUAACAUGUGUGUAAGUCAUUGGGUAUUUUGUUGAAACCUAAAGGCGAAAUUAAAAUAACUAUUUAUGGGAUUACAAGCAAUCUUAAUGAUUGUUUCUCCAUCCCGGGGCGUUCAAUAUGAACAUGGUUUAAGCAAUUGGACCCUCUGUUCUAGAGCGUACCUUGAACAUACAUGCUGUGACCC